UUUUUUUUUGUGUGUGUGUGGGGGGGGGGGCAAAAAUAGACUCAAUACUAUAGAAUAUAACACACACGUUCAUAUUUCAUCAUAUCACCCAUAAAUAAUCCUAAAACAUGCAUCGCAUCCUCUCUAAUAAUUUUUCAUUCUCAUAAAUUACUUAUCCUAAAAUUUCCAUCGCAACACAUGGAGAAUUCAACUAGUUUAUGUAUAAAUAAUAACAGAUAUACAUAGAGAAGAUAGAGAUGUGAAGCCAAGCCACGCAACAUUUUAGUUUCCUAAUAAUAAAGUUAGGACAUCGAUCAAGCGACUAGCUAUGUAACUUAAUGAAAGAGAAUAUGGAUAAUUGAUUCCUAGGCACCCAUCAUCUACUGCUACUGCUACUAUUACUACUAGGUAGAGAACGAACUAAUAGAGAUAGACUGGUGUAGUGGUGUCUUCAUCUCUAUCUUGUAGUAGCACAACUUCAACUUACACAUAGCUAGCUAGCUAUAGGCCGGCUCAGCUGGGAUGAUUUAAUUUAUGGAUGGCUUGAUUUCCGAUCCAUGCAUGCAUUGCACGCACAGACAGAGCAUAUACAUCAUGGGUUACAUAUCAUGCACCGGCCGGCCUUAUACGUGUGGGUGUGACGAUGGAAGGAUGAAGAAGAGACACCCAGCCUGAGCUCAAGGUCGAGAUCAUCGCCGUCAGCAUCCUCUGGGCCACCACCUGCUGGAGCAUGCGCAGUAGGGGUAGUAGAAGUGGCUGCAGCCGCAGUGUUGCAGUUGCUGCACACCAGUACUCCAACCCCCAGCUCCAGCUCCAUGGACGACGUCGACGGGCGCUUAUUGUCACCAUCACGAUCAAGCAGCAGCUUCUUGCUGCUGCUGGGGCGAUGGAGAUGGCACUGAUGUGGUGGCGGAUAGUUGAGGUUGGGAAUCGUCGUCAUCAUCAUCAUCGCCGGCGGUGGAGGAGGAGCAGGAGGAGGUGAGCCGCCGUGCCUGAGCCUUGCCCUGUCCCUCCUGUGGACAUUCAUGUGUCCCCCGAGUGCCUGCGCGGACCUGAACUCCCUCUUGCAGAAGCUGCAGGGGUAGGAUCGCGGUGGCCAAGUGAAGAAGCUGCAGCUGCUGUAGCUCCAUGACGACGAUGCUGCCGGCGCCUGCUGCUGCUGCUGUCUGCUGCUGCUUGAUGCGCCCUGCUGCAGCUGCUUCUUGCUGCUCUCCUCCCUCUCAUCCAUGCUAGCUAGCUGCGGCUACUGCUAGAUCUAUCUAUCUCGAUCUGCUACUUCUCUUGCUUGCAGUGUAAUGUAACCACCAAAAGGCCGGCCGGCCGGCCGGUAUAAAGAGAUGGUAUGCUAUAUAAUUAAGGUGUAGGUGUGGAGUGAGCUAGCUAGGUGGUAAUAUUAGUGGGCGAGAUUGCUGCAGGUGCGUAGUGAGAGCGGAACGAAACGGUGUUGGUGGCUAGAGCUAGCUAUUUGUACACCCAUCGAGGGAUAUGAUAUCCCGGCCGGCCGCUACCUCCAUCACUAGCUAGCUAGUGCAGUAGUGAGUGCUGCCGCUCUCUCCCGCCGCGCCGGUCAUGGAUCGGAUAGAUAGAUCGAUCGUCGUCGUCGUCAUUUAUCAUGCAGAUCGAUCGAUCCAAUCCACUGCAUGCACGGCGACUCAGGACGUACUCUCGAUCGAUCUGUCUCUGUCAACGCCCCGGCCGGCCAUCUCUCUGUCUACUGAACAGCUGUGCAUGCUAUCAUGCAUGGCGCGCGUUUGACUUGAUUGACUGGGCUCUGGGCGAUCUCUCUCUCCCUCUCGUAACACACACGCAUGCACAGACAGAAAAAUAUGGAGUGUGCGAGGGAGUCCCCGCCGGGCCGGGCCAGCAGCAGCAGCAGCAGCAGCAGAGAGACGACGAUAUCGACGCCACUGUAGACGAUGGUGCAUUCAUGCAUGCAUGUAGCAAGCCAUCAGUUGCAUUUUCACUGUUGUGUGCGUACGUGAUGAUGGACGACGACUACAUCAACAUCAUGUCGAUCGUGCAUGUACAUGUGAGCUAGAUGAUCGAGCUACUGUCCGAAGUCGGAGGACAACCCGAAAUAGCUUCCUCGGUAUCCCCAUCUCUCGUUUGUCAAAGGUGAGCAGUGAAAAUCUUUCCUCUUGCACAACAAACUCAGACUGCAGGCUUGCAUGGCCUGCCCACCCCCACCCUCACCACUUCACCACUGACCAGUCCGUCGUCCUCUUUGACCACUGCCAUGUAUGUACAUGCACGUGCACAUCACUAGCUAGCUCUGCUUGCAAACCAGUAGCUAGCCAAGACGAUCCAUCCAUCACCUGUGUGGCCGGCCUGCAUGCCUACCUUAGGCUUUAUUUAGUUCAUCAAAAUUUUUGGCUUUGGCGACAUAACAUUUUUAUUUAUAUUUAAUAAUUAUUAUCUAAUAAUAAACUAACUAGGUUUAAAAAACUCGUCUCGCAAAUUAUAGACAAAUAUAUAUAUAUAUAUAUAUAUAUAUAUAUAUAUAUAUAUCCCACCAGACACCGGUCCUUGUGCAGGUAAAUAGUUAGAGAAAGAAGUUUCCUCUCUUUAUUUCAACAAACAAUGUGCAUAAUCAUUAAGCACAGUACAACCGAUUCGAGGCAUGCCCACCGCCACGGGUCUCACUCUACAAACAAUUAACUACAUUGUACUCCCUCCGUCCAAAAGGAAUAUCAUUUUAGAAUUUUACACAUCUUAUUUUAUUAUUCGUCUUAUUUAAAUUUUUAUAUAAAUAUUAUAUAUUUUGUUAAGACCUAUUUUAUUAUUAGAAAUACUUUACUAAUGAUUUAUUUAUUCUAUAAUUUACAUAAAAUUUCUAAAUAAGACGAACGGUCAAACCCUAAACUCUGAUUCCGACUUCGACAACAGUUCGCCUCCCCAGCCCUCCUUUGCCGAGGUAGUCCACCGGAGUUCCCCGACCCACGAGGCCACCUGCACGGCCGGUGUGUCGCGGCCAAGCUGCAACGGAGACCUCAGAAGCGAACCACAUGGAGGCAGGUGCGUGGAGAAAGAGACACAGGCGGAGGAGGAAGUAGCACCAUGGCGCUCCAUAGCAUGCGGCCGAGCACACUAGCUCCGGCACCAGCGAUGGGGGUUGCAUACCCACCCAUCGUCGUCUAGCUAGGUGAGCGCAUCGUCAUGGACUCCAGCGGUGGCGGCUGCCUACCGACACACUAAUGCCUAGGGGACCACGUCCUAGAGGAGCACUGACCGGCACACUAGUGGCUAGGAGACCAGGUGCCACCGUGCCACCAUCGUUGAAUCUCCCCCCCGGAUGAGCAGGGCUGGCGGGAGGUCCUAUCUUGAUCUAAGGGGUCAUGGUGGUAAGAGCAGCCACCCUAGGGAAGCAAGGCUCACUGGCAGCGAGGAAUCCCCAAGGAACUCAAAGACCACUGCCUCAACUACCUCUUGUUCUCCAAGAAGAUUGUUGACGCCCUCUUCACUGCCGUUCCGACAAUGGAUUUUGCCACAUUGCUAGGGACUACCUACGUCGCCGCUCACUGAAACACCACGCCACGGCACAGGGCCAGGCUGGGGUGGCGAACACUGGAUACUGCCAGCUCAUCCACACGUCAAGGAGGCUAGGAAGCCCAACGGACAACACUCUGCCUGACUCGCCCAAGCCAGAGAAUGACUCCACUAACGGGGAGCACGACCCACUACUGCCUGGUCACCCUACUACAUCAUUUAGUGUACCCCAGCCAUCAGCAAAGCAGAAGAGGCCCUAUGCCACUCCCUGAUCACCAUGGUCACCGAUGUCGAGCGGGAACUCUUCACCAUCGACCCCAUUUGAGCCAUCAGGUCAAUGAGUGGAGUGGGUGAAUACUCCUUCUCCGUUGUUCCAUUCUUCCUGGAGCACUUCCUCGUCCACUACAACUCCAAGGAGACUAGUGAUCAGAUCCUUGCGACGUUGGCAACGCCAGUCGAAGGGACCUUCUUUUUCAUGCACCCAUGGACUCGUCUGGCUCAGGCAACCUCCUAAUUGCUACCGUGCAAGAUCGCCAUCGAGCUCGAGGGGAUCCCCACACACAUGGUACGAGGACACCAUGGCCAAAAUCCUAGCACCAUACUACUAGCUUCAAUAAGUCAAGCCGAUGAUGGUGGCUAGAGCAGAUCUAUGCUCCUUCCACAUGAUGGCCUAGACGACGGAACUGAGCAAAAUCCUAAAGAUCAUUCGACUGCUCGUUGCCAAGGACGAGCUGCUGCUACAUGGCAACCUAACAUGGUACCUCAGUAAAGAUGGCAACGGGACCCAAUCUCUGAUUUCCCGCAGGGAAUUCCCCUAUUAGGGGACGAGGAUGGGGAGAAUUUGAUCCCCAUGGGGAAGAAAACGGAGGAAAACUUGUCCCCAAUGGGUCUGGCGGGGACGGGGAUGGUACAGCAUCCCCCGUCCCCGAUCCCCGCUUGGCACAGCGCUAUGUGCUCACACUUGCAGCAUACAAUCUCAUCCGCUCGGCCCGUUAUGGCCCAUCACAGACCAUGUAUAUGCGCUGCAUAUAAAAGCAAGUAAACCUAAGUGUCUAGCUUAUCUGCUCCCCUCGACCCCUCCCUAGUCUCGCAUGCCGCCGCCGCACCACUUGCCUAGCUGAGAGACAUGAUGCGGCACCACCCUUCUGCGAUCCCAUGGUGCCCGACUGCACGCACUCUCCCACCGCUGCACAUCCUUAUGCAAAUGUGCUCCCGUUGUGAGGCUCUUAGUGCCUUGCGGCUGUGAUAGAGUCCCUCGAGAUAUUAGGAAGGCACACUCCACAUCCUUGUGCAAACGUGCUCCGUGCGCCCGUGCUUCAGAUUAAGAAUCAGCUGCUAAAGCUUUGCGUGGAGAUGGUGCCAGGUAUUUGCUUGAAGCGGGCACCAUAGUGAGGCCCUUGGUGUGCCCUACGCCCAGUCACCCAAUGUUAGGUCGAGUCACAAAAGGUAGAGGCGAGAUGCUUAGCAAAAGAUGUUUAUUUAUGCCAUGUAUUUUCUUUAUGCUUUGUUAGACAUGAAUUGCAAUGUUUGUUGACAAAGAACAUGUGAGAAAUCUUUGUGAAUUGAUGUAUGUUUUGAAUUUUUGAUGCCAUGGAUUAGAUUUCUUCCCUCAUCUGUAACCGGGGAUGAGGCCCUCGAUGGGGAAUUUAUCCCCGCCCAGGGACAGGGAUGGAGAGCCAAUCCCUGACAGGGAAUUCCUUGUUGCCAUAUUUAUACCUCACCAACAAGAACAUUCUCUACUACCAGGUCUUGUCCACAUUUGCAACAUCAUUGACUUCAACUCGAGUGACCCAUCGUUGUCCCCAUCCCCGCUGAAGUUCCAAUGACAGCGAUAGUGGACACAAUGGUAACCCUAAUCACCACCACUUCAGCCACAGCCAUGCACCAAGGCAUCACUGCUUCACGAUCCAUCAAGAGGUGAUCUAUGGCGGUAGUGCCUGCAGCGGUAGUGAUGGUCCAUCGCACCAGACUGUUCAGUCCUAGGGCUGUGAUGUCAACACGAUUAGCAGACUAGCUUCAUCGACGUUGGUAAAGCAAAAGCUAUGGUGGAUGGCCAAAGCUGCCAUCCUGUCUGUCCGCUACUCAUCAGUAGAAGUGGACCCAGUACCACCAAGCCUCACCACCGAUAACAUCUGGACCCCAUUGGGGUUUGAUUUUGAAUGAAGUGACGGCUAGGGCCACAAAAUGGAAAGACAAUCGGCCUCAGAUCCCAUGGUCCUUGAGGCUAGACUGUGCCAUGUUAUUAGAUCACCUACAAGACAAGAUGAAGCCCUGCAGUCCCCAUGCCCAAAGUAGUGUUUCCCCUUCAGAGCUACUACUAUGGGAGGAUGCCUAGAAAAGUCAUUGUCCUGAUUGCUGCCACUCUGCUUGAGACUAGGGAGACUGAGAAUGACGUAGGAUGGCCACACCAGCUAUCAUGCGCCAUGUGCAUGGACCCAGAGCUGCUCUUACACCACCAUGAGGAUGCAUUGUAGAAGAAUCGGGCUGAUAUCCCCUCAACCCAUCAGCCCAAGCAUCCAUAGAGCUGCUGCCAACUUUGGUGAGUGGACCAUCAUUGAUGGCACGGACAGGGGCCCAGUUACCUCGGCUGGUGACCUAGACACCAUGGCUAACCCCACCAGUGAGCCCCCAUAGUCGUCUCCCUCCCUGGCACAAAACACCGUCGAGCCUACCUUUGCCAUCGAAACUCAGCUAAACCGAGAGGAUGCCCAGUCGCAUGACACGACCAACGAGGCCGCUAAUUGGCAACCUACCCAAGGGGCAACCCCCAUAUCCUCGAUGGAGGUCAAGGUUGCUAUACCUACCCCACCCUGAAUUGUAGUGCCACGGGAACACAUAAGCAAGUGGCAACCCUCACGCCGAGUAAAGUAGUGAGGCACGUCGAUCAGUUCAAGGCAGACAUCCUCAUUAGCACUACUCAUCGAUCCUCGCUAGCCCACCAAAAUAGAAGCCCCCGAUGAAUCAAACCCACACCCAAACCUAGAGCUCGAGGAUCGUUGUGCAUCCACUAGCACACAUUCUUGCAUCCAAGUGGGGUAAAGCUCUAUUGAUGAAGAAGAUGGGGAUGCCAACAUCAGUGUUGUAGGUCACACUAGGGUCACAACGGGUGCUCGACGCAAUCCGAUCUAGAAACCUUAUCCACAACCAAAUCGCUAUCCUCGAUGAGUUGUUCAUAGUUGCAAACUACAAGGCUAGUAGAGCUACUUGAGGAGUAAUGCUGGUCAACGCUUGAUGCACGCUCGCCACCACCUAGAGUCUUGGCCAUGAAUAAUACAAUCCUCAUAUCAUGGAACGUACGCGGGCUCAACGAGCAAGCCAGGCAGGACAUGGUACGCACGCUCACCAAUGACAUUCAUCCGAGUCUCGUGUGCCUAUAGAAAACUAAACUCAAUGUAUUAUGUGCGAUCUCACUAGCUUAGUCCUGGUGCUUGUAUUCUUGAAUAGGUUUUUCCUUCUCAAUAUAAUGAUUGCGUAAUUCUUUUGUGCAUUAGAGAGAAAAUGCUAUGUUCAAAGGUAAAUAUGAGCCUCUCUUAUUGCCAAGUUCACAUAGUCAUAACGUACCUAAACCUUAUGAACAACGCUAUAAAGACAAUGACAAAGCCAAACAAGCAAAGAAUGAAGAAGGAGACCAAAGUACAAUAUAGAAACCGGUCUAACCUAUUUUUUUAACAACAAUUUGAGUAGGUUUUUGAGGAAAAAAUAAUUGAAAAUCAUGCCAAAUCAUCUAAAAAAAUAAUGAAACUUGGUCCCUACCUACUACCUUCAAUGUGGUUGAGCGCGAACCAAAGAAUUCCUACAAUGUCAUCCUAGAUUAUUGUUGUAUGUUCUAAUGCUUUAGAACCACAAUUCACAACAGCUAACUUUGCAUGAAGCUACUAGGAUCCCCAAAGGUAACAUUGAUUACCAUCUAAGAAAAUCAAAAUAAGGCUUGCAUUUUGAGUAUAUAGCUACACCACACCUCACAAAACCACAUGUUCCCCAAAAUUGUUGGCAAUCUAACGCUAGAGUAUGAUAUGUUAGAGCCCAAGGGCUCAGAAGGCCAAAGUACAUACAAGGAGGCAUCAAGAUCUUCAUCAUCAAUGAAGACCGACCCCAAUGCAUCUUCCAUAUAGAAAUUCAACUACCUCUAAAGACAAAGGACCAAAUUCUAGAUAUAUUCCAUACUAAUAACCUCAAUGCCUUUGCUUGGUCCCCUUUUGGUCUCCGAGGUGCCCACCAAAGCAUCAUUAAAUACCACCUCUACAUCGAGACAAUAACCAAGCUCAUAUGCAUGCCAAAGGCUGUGCAAGAUGUCCAUAGAGCAUGCAUUGAAGAUGCCAAGGAAGAGUUCAAAAAUCUUCUAGACUAGCAUGAUAAGAGAUGUGUGUUGUAGGUGGUAUCACAUGCCCACUGCCCAAGCCUUCUUAUGUUGAGCACCACCGAUGAGCAGCCAUCAUUCGUGGUUUUGUUUAAUUUUCUAGGUGGUGCUUAUUGAUUGAAAAUGACAUGUUUUCGUCACAGAUCAUGUGCAUUGUUUACAUCACCAUUGUGAUGUUGCUUUGGUAAAUUGUGACGAGGCGGUCUUGCCACGGAACUGGACAACAUCAAUGAUGAAAUUUAUUUUGUCAUGAGUUAGCUGAACUACUAAGUCAAACAUCGGGUAUCUAGGUGGCUGGCCUCAUAUGUGGGUAGGGCCUUGUGAAAAGAUGUGGUGACAUGAGUAUAUGGAUGUGUCAAGGAUAUACAUGAACCUAUAUGUGUUAGCUUUAUGUUUCUCAAGGACCUAUAUGUAAAAAAUGAAAUGUGAACCCAAGCAGCAGUUAAUUCAUCCAAUUGCGGAAUUUGAUAUUUAGACUUCGUAUAAAAAUGAUAAAUAAUUAAGUGGUUCUUGUAUUAGAUGGCAGUGUUUGGUGGCUCUAUGCGUAUGUAGGGAGUACUUACUAGUUAAUAAUUUGUGAACGUACUCCUGUAAUACAGUGCAUUCUAGAAAUUUUAAGACAAAUUAAGAAAGAAUAUAAAAGACGCAUGUACCCUCGCUUUAUUUCCUAAUUAGACCCUAUAAUCAACUUGAUUAAUGGUGAUUGGCUGAUAAAUAGAAAGUAUUUAAUGCAGAAUUGGGUUUUGUCCUCUAAAAUACAUUAUAUUCGAGAACAAAUUUUGAAUGUUAGAAUGAACUAUAUUAUAGGAUGGAGGGAGUAGAAGCUAAUAGUGUUGCUCUCAAUCUAGGGUGGGCUUGGGAUGGAUAAUUUGUCGCCAUGGCCAGCGAGAGGGUGGGUUUGGGAUUCAUCUAUCUACAACUAAGGUCAAUCGAUGAAUUAAGGUAACCAUUUACUGCAUGCCAAGAAUAGUAGACAUAGCUAAAAAAACAGGUUUCGAAAUGUAGCCAAAUUUGGAAAGGGAAAAAGAAAAGCAACUUGGUAGUAGCAUUAGUCUUUAAAGUAGUAAUAAGUUAAUCACUGCCAGCAAGAUGUGGCGGCAAAAUUUAAAUCUGAGUUCAUGUAUACUUAUAUAGCUAGUAUGGCCGUUUAUAUAUUUGGUAAUAAUAAUCAGGAGAUUGGUGUGAAAGGGUUUAUAAUAAUAUAUAUAUAUAUAUAUAUAUAUAUAUAUAUAUAUAUAUAUAUAAGUCGUUGGACGUGGCACGACGCGAUUGGCUGAGCCAUGCAUGGCGUCCGUUUGAAACCGCGCAUGUCUCCCGCGCUCACCAUUUCUUAUUUAGCAUUGCUUUAUUACGUACGAGCUGUCAUCAGCUGUAUGCAUGCAUGUAACGGCGGCGCGCGGCUUUGACAGUUGAGGGAAAAAAACAGCAGGGCAGUGUGAGAAAGAGAAACCGAUCGAUCGAUGCAUAUCAUGCUUGUAACCAAAUAACCUGCAGGCAGCUAUAUAUAUGCCGUUGCCGGCCUCUGGUUCUACAAAUACCCAGCCGAUCCCUGCAUCGAAUCGACCAUUCAGCUAGGAUUUCCAUCAGUCAAUCAAUCAAUCAGCAAUAUAAUCUCUGCUUGCAGUUGCAGCUAGGUGUGCUAGAGAGGUAGCAAUGGCGGAAACAGCAGCAGCAGCAGGUGUUACUCUCACCGUCCGCGACAUGCUCUUCUUUUACUGCGACGCUCGCAGCGUGUACGAGCGGUUCAUCGGCAUGGGCAGCCACCCGGAGCAGGCACGGAACGCCGUGGCCCUCUUGCUGUGGCUGGACCAGGUUUUCCACCAGGCCAUGCCCAUCCGCCACCUGCCGACCUUGGACGCCACGGCCGUCGGCAUGGUGGCCAGCGAGGCCAACCGCAUCCUGGACUGCCUCCGCGGCAUGCAGCAGCAGAGCCACGUCGUGCUCCCGCCCAUCCCCUUCAUCUCCGCGCUCUGCCAGUGUCACGACGGCGGCAUGGGCAUCGACACUGCCUUCUUAGCCUUCAACCAGGACCUCGUCGUGCGCGGCGUCGCAGACAUCCUCGACGGCGUCGGCGCCCUUAUCUUCGACGACCGCCUCUACCGCCUGCUGCGCCGCUACCAGACGGGGCUCAUCGGUCGCCUGUCGGAGCUCGAGGCGCCUUACACCUGCAGCCCCGUCACCGUGUCGGAGGACAGCCGCUCCAUGUUCGUCACCUUCUCAAAGGGGCAGCCCGCCGUCGACCGUCAAGAGAUAUUCGACUACUUCAGACAGUAAGCUCGGCCGGUGCUUAUAUAUAUCUUUAUUCAUUUAUUUAUCUCCUCGAUCGAUCGAUCGCCUUCACUUCAUUUGAUUGAUGCAUGCAAAUGCAAAUGCUGAAAUGCAGCAAGUGGGGCGACUGCAUCGUCCGUGUUCUGAUGGAGAAGACGACGACCAGGGGCACGCCGCCGAUGUACGGCAGGAUAAUCUUCAAGAGCGAGGCAUUCGUCAGCCUGGUGCUCAACGGCGAGCACACCGUCAAGAUCACCAUUGGCUACCGCCAGAUCUGGCUCCGCAAGUACAUCCCGCGCCCGCACACCAUCAACAACCUGCAGUGACGAUAUGCAUAUGACAAAUUGAUGGAUCGAUCAUCGAUGAACCAUCACCGCAAAUGUUUUAAGUAGGGUCUAUUAGCUAGCUACUAGCAGUAGUCAUUCCUCUUGCAUUCCUUUCCAUAAACUCUAUAUAUGUAAUAUGUAUGCACAGCUUCAACUCUAUGCGGUUGUCAAAAAAAAUCCACCCUAUGUAAUGUAAUGUGCAUGCAAUUUUCAUUUUGUUUGUUAAAAGGAGAUCGAACACCAUGAAUCAAGAUUAUGCGAGGUUCGCAAUGGGCGCAGUAAUUGAGCUUCUCAAACAACCUAACCUAACUGCAGAAAUUGAUUUGGUGGGGUGACAAUGGAUUGGGAUGGAAACAAACCAAUUUUCACUCCAAUCCACAUGUUUUGAGGUAAAUACAUGUUAGAUGCCCCUGUAUUCGUUCACUCAAUCCAUGUGCUUUGAAGUAAUUUGGCGUGGAAUUUAGUUUAGAUUUCACAUCAAACUAUUCUAACACACUGGAUUAAUUUGAUAUAUGAGUAUCCAAACAAGCCCUUAUGUACUUCUAAUGCAACCUGUUGACAAAACUGCUAUAUAUGUAACGAUCGGUGGUGACAUUAUAAGAGGGGGUGAAUUAUUAUGCCUCUAGAAAAAUAUUUGCUCCAAAACCAACACAAGACGGACCUAUACCAAUAACUAGUUGAAUUCCCCGCGCUUUGCUGCAGGAAUAAGGUUAGAAUUUAGAUGACACUUUAAAGUUAUAGGUAACAUAUUUAGAUAUCAACGGAGAAAAGAUGUGAAUGAGAUGUUGAUAUAUUCCUAAGGAUACACAAAGUCAACAAUUUAAUUUGUGAAUGAUUGGUGACAAAAUUCUUCCUAUGGGUAUAUGUAUAAUCUGUGAGCUUCGAGAAAUACAGGUGGCUGCUGCAAAAAAGCGAAAAAGAUACUCUUAUCAAAUCCUAUAAUACUUCUUAUGGCAUUUAAAUUUCGUCAUCACAAAGGUAAUACUAAAGCACAACAUAGUAGGUCCCUAAUCCAAUUUACCAUCAGCCAUUACCUCACUGUCAAUCAAAUCAUUGGCUUGGAGUUGCUUAAUAAAAAAAGAAGAAAAUAAAGUACCAAUGGCCAGAUGGACUCCAGACUCCACUCCCUUCUGCCGUGAAAUGUUGAACAAAAAAAGGAAAAAAAAAAGUCUACCAGUGGACAGCAAACAGCAUCCACCCGUCUCGAACUGAAAAACUCCCAGGACGUCUUCUUCGCAAACCUUCUCAGCCGCUCAAAAAACUCCGCUGUUGCGGCUUCUCCCAAUGCAAGGGCAGCACUGUAGCAGGUUCCCCUUCUCUCCCUUCCUAUGUGACCCUUUCAACGGAUUGGGCUGGCACCAUCCAAGGUAGGCAGGCAGACACAGGCGCAGGGCAGUCGGUUCACAAAAAAUGAUAGCACAAAAUCCACCUGAUCUUGUGUUCACAAAUAAUGUCUUGUUACAUAUAUGCAUGAUACAACCUUAAAUCCUUGCUACAGACUUAUUUGUGUUGAUCCAUUAACAUGCAAGCAUUGACAUCACACAAAUUUAUUAUACAUAAACUUAACUAAUAUGCUGGCAUUACAUCAACUUGACUAAUUUGCUGGGCAAAAUUUUUGUCUUGUAUGGCUCAUAGUGUGAGCACAUGAGUAAUGGGGUGGUUCGGUUACUGUAUAUGUAGGAGUAACUAAAUUUGGAUUUGCAGGAACAGCUGUAUAUAUCAUGUGCGCUCAUGUGUAGUUCUGGAUUAUCUUUGACAGAGAUGAGUAUGUCCCCACACAUGCACAGCAAACCCCGACCAUGAUGAUGAAUGAGCACGCUGCUACCUGUGAAUCCAAAUAGAUCCCAUUAGUAAUUAGUUGCAUUAGCGUGCAUUUUCUUUUUCUCGACACAAGGUAAGGGACUCAGAUUACAAAGGCCUAGUUCUACCAUGUUUCAAAGCAAAUCAUAUUCAUUUUUUCUUCACCGUCUUUAUGCUAUUUGCCCAUUUCACUCAGGAUACAGCAUUUCUGGUCAUUUGUUCAUGAAACAAUGCAAAGCUAGUAAAUAUUAUUUACAUAUAUUCAUACCUGGUGCCAGCUCACUUUUCUCCUCAGGAUUGCUAAAAAGCACGCACAAGGUAGAAUAUAGGUCUACAAUGAAAACAUGCUUUAGCCUCACAGAUUGAUACAAGGAUUGAACAUCUGAUGAGGUGAACACAGAUCCUUACCACAAGCAUCGUGAGUAAAGAACCAACCAAGGCCAUCACAAGUCCUGUCAAAGCACAAAAACAGAUUGGUAGAUCGUGUCAUGAUUGGGCCUUAUGAUAUUAGUUCAAAAUAUGCUCAUGAGCUUACCAAAGAAGGGUACAGAUAGAGCAAUGAGGAGGGUUGACACCACCAAGGCUGAUCUAAGCAUGACUAUGUUUGAGUACUUCUGUUGAUUUGGUGGCAGCAACUCUUCCAAACUCAUAGCCAGUGGGGUUAUGGUUAAUGCAUAUGUGAUUAUUCGUUAAGGACAUAGCAAGUUUGAGAAUGUCACAAGUAUCAUAAAAAUAAAGAAUUAUCUAGCCAAAUAUAGCUGCAUAAAAGAAUGCUCUGAAAUCUAUUGAGCAAAUAGCUACAGAAACACACUUCCUCUGCUCCAUUUUGAGACUAGACCACUUUCAAGAAAAAAAAUGCACCCGUUCAAAAAAAAACAGUGACAAUAUUAGCACACCAAGGAUAUUUGGUUAUUGGAUUUGCCACCUGCAAUAAAAAAUGAGAGGUGAUAUUAUUGACGUGGUUCAGCAUGAAGGAAUCAAAAUAACUGUAGAUGAGAACUGCUCAUCAGAUAAAAGGACCUAACACCCUCGCCAAAAAAUAAGAGAAAAGUUCCUAAUAAGACCGGUGUCGGCAAGUUUUAUUGUGGCAUAAAAGAGAGAGACACACACCCUACAGCAUAUGAUUAUCCCAUGCACUAAACAAACCAAAAGUUCAGGCCUCUUGACUUCUUAGAAAUGAAAUUUUAAAUGGUUUACGCAGCAACAAUUACCGUGGUCCAAACUGCAAUCUUUGAAACCACUAAAUUCUCUGGUAAGUUCAGUGUGAACUGAGACUGUGUGGCUUCACCAAACAUUUUGUAUCCCAUCACCGCAGCACCAGCAAAUAAAAUGGUAGACAGCCCAAUGCUAACAAGAAAAAAAACAAAUUUUUUAGUGCUGCAUUUCAGGGGGAAAAAGAAUAUGGAAUGUGGAUAAGCUAAUUACCAAGUAAAAAGGAUUGAAGGGAACUGAUUACGGUUCUUCAAAGAAGAGUAGAUGUUUGGAAACACCCCAUGCCCUGAGUAGCAAUAACCAUACAAUCCAAUUGCAAUAGGGAUUCCAGGGAGGUUCAGCGCAGUUCCUUUGUUCUCAAAGUCAACAUUAUCAACAACACCUACCCAGAAUAGGCAGAUGACUCCAAGGAUUGAUGCAAUGACACCUCCAGCUACAAACACAUAAACUUAGUGAGAAACCAUGAGUGGUACACCAAGAGGGAAGAGCAUACGUCUGAACUAAACGCAGGGAAUACACACUGAUUGUGUGGCAAAGCAUUGUCAAACAAAAUGAAAAGCAACAGGUAAAUGGAGACCUGAAAGGUAGCUCAGGCAGCUAAGGUCACGUAGCCAAGUGGUCGGCAUGACUAUGAUGGUAGUCAAGAUUGCGAAAAGUACAUGGGAGUUCACUGUCAAGCUCCCGAUGGUCAGGUGUGCAUUGGGGAAUAAUUUUGAUAAAUUGUCACCUUCCAAUAUCAGAUACUCGAUGCAACAGGCCUGCACAACAGAUUAGGACUGUUACUCUUCAGAAAGAAGGAAUGCUAUUUUAAGUUAGAUUAACCUCAUAAGACCCUAAACCUGCUGUGUAUUCUAUUUUUCUGAUGAAAGAAUGACAGGUUUCAGGCAUGUGAAAUCCAUUGCGCCCUUCAGAUACUGGCCCCAACUUAUGUCACUUCUACUUUGCAAGGUCUUACAAUUGUCUAGGAGGUUGAUAUUAUUUUGCUUCUUGUCUAACCCUAGCAAUUUCAACUUGAAUUAUCACAGCACAAAUUAUUUUGGUUGCCUUACAAUUAUUUUGGUUCCAACUUGAAUUAUCCCAACUUAUGAUUAGCAUGCUUGUGACUCAUGAUCUCAUCCGCAUGUUGAACCAGAGCUGAUGUUUUUGUUUUCUUGUGAUGGGACUUCUUUCUUUAUUACUCUCUUACUGAAAAAUAGCAUUAUAGAGCUUGUUGUGUAGUUACCAUAGUGUUGAUACCUAUGAUUUUUUUUUCCUUCUGUUUAUGUAUAGGAUAUGCAAGUUGUUGGUGCAAAUCAUUUUGUUUCACUAAAUCACUACUUGGAACACCUAAUUCUGAUUGAGAUAGAUGGUUAGCAAUAAACACUUACAUAUAGUUCCACAUACAGGAUUAUCUGCAACAGGAAACCACAAACAAGGAAAAAGGUAAGUUACAACAAAAGCAUUCCUUCAUUCACAUUAUAUUGAAAAUGUGCAGAAAUUGAAUCACAGUCAUUAUUUUUUUACAUACCGAAAUGGCUAUACGACCGGUGGUCCCGAAGGCGGCAUGGCCAAUAUCUGGGUAUGUCUCAAGGCCCUCCUUGCUGUCCAGGCAACGGCGCAGGAGCACACCAGUAUACCAUGCUAGAAUUGCAAAUAAACAGAGUAUCACCAGUCCAAGCCAGCCCCCUUGUUUGAUGGCAUAAGGCGUUGAUAGGAUUCCCACACCACAUAGAACAUUUAUCCCUGCAUAAAAGCAAAGUACAAGCUCAAUGGAGAAACAAGAAAAUUCCCAAUUAAAGUUGCAGGACUUAUCUAUGGUGCAAAAUCUAUUACACCGUUCAGGUUAAAUAUACAUUUAUUACCAAAAUUUCAAAAAACAACAAAGCCUUCGUGUCCAAGCAAGUUGGGGUAGGCUAGAGAUGAAACCCAACAUGAGCCAUCACUAGAAAGAAACAACUAAAAUAAAAUAUCAUAUAUAAAAUGUAAAACGACAUGGUUGAUAAAAAGCCAUCCAAAGUAUAAAUCUAGACCUUACAAAUAAAAGUUAAGCUGCUUAUGACAUUUCUGAUCUAUAACUUUAAUAAAUUAUACGUACCCCAAACUUCAAAAUAGUGACUCCACAGGUAUAAGGGAUAAUAACUAUGGUGAUAUAUCGAUGACCUAUAAAUUUUGAUAAAAGAUAAUUGCAUGGUUGCGCACGCUUUGAGGCCCAACUAUGAGUUUGUCCUAUUUUUUCACUUUGCAGUUUGCACCAUUGCCUCUAGUCAUUUGGAAACAGUAGGGGCAAGGGGGCAAGGGUGCAAGGUGAAAAAAGGAAUGCAAACUCAUAACUAGGCCCCAAGGUAAUAUCAGGUUUGUCCUUCAGCAAAAGUACAGCAUGCAGAUCUAUUUUGUGGGACCACUGACACGCAUGGUUGUGCUGACUGAUCAAGCAUGCUUAAGCAAACAUAAUCCAAUUGCAAUAGGAACAAGGGGAAAAGAAGUAGAAUGUUGAAUUGGUGCAAUAAUCAGGAGAAUAGAGUGUACAGAAGAAAACAUAAUUGACAAUUAUUUCUUUUUUUUUCUUUUUGAGGGGAAAUAAUUGGCAACUCUGGAUGGUUUCUACUUAUUAAAACCAUGAACCACUUACCUAAGUAAAUCUGAUGCAAACAUACGCUGAAGCAAGCAAUGGUUUGGUUCAUGCAUCAAUGCUUAAGCCAGCAUUCAACAAUGGCAAAUAUCACAAGAAUAAUUCAAUGAUACCGAUGAUUGAGGGCCCUAUCUAUCAUGCUGAUUUGAGAAGGCAAGAAAAAUAGCUUGAGGAGAGGCAGACAUGUAUGCAGCCAAACAUGUAUCACAAUUCACAAACAUCAGAAAUCAGUUGCUUACCGUUCACAACCGCCUGAGUGUAAGAGCAUUUAUGAUAGGGAGAGACCUCAUGAGCAACUGGCACUGGCUUUUGAUCCUCAGGAAUCUGUUGCAAAGACGGUUUUCUCGAAGGCAGAAGGUACUGUGAACUCUUUCUUUCUUCAUGCUGCUGCUGAAGGUCAUCACUUGUAGUGGGGCGAAGAAGUGGCUUAACAAGAUUAGAGAUGAUUUCAGGGGUUUUACCCCGAAAAGAAUUGGUGAUGAAAGAGUUGGAUAAUCUGCUUAGAGUUGGGGUCCCCAAGAAGCUCAGAUUUGGUGACUGCACGCUACUAAGAAUGUUGAUGGAUUGCCUGUACAGUAAAAGGAGCCAGAGAAAUAUAUAUGAUUUUGAGGAAAAAGAAAUAUAUGUGAUUGAUUGAUGUGAGUUAAAGAGAGCUGUAAAACUUGUCAAAAAAAAAGAGAGAGAGCUGUAAAGAAAAUCAUGUAACUACUACUUCAGCCAUUCUUGUGAUGGAUCUUGUAAAAAACAUGGAGCACUAAUAGAGAAGCAUAUAAUAGACGCAAACAAAAUGUUGCCGUGCAUGUUGGCGAUCCAGUAUGCAUGUAUGAAUAAUCGAUAUAUAUGGCAGUUCAGUUCAUGUGGAUCUCUAAUCUGUGGAGUAAACUCGUCCUGCCCUGCCCAUGCCUUAUCAUUUCCAUGGGCAACAGAAACUACAAACUAUUGUGAUAGAUUUUCUUUUGGUACCAUGGUAGCACAAAAUAGGUCAACUAUUUUAUUUUGUAUAAGAAUCUGAUUGUGCCUGCAUGUUCGAGAGGGGGGGAAAAUCUGAUUCUGCUGGUGGAACACUUAGUUUUCUUCUACUUUCACAAUUCCAUUUUCUUUUUAAAUUUUUUGGAAAUGAACAAAACUAUGUACAGUUUUGGAAAAGGUCAUGAGGACAGAAUGUUUUGAAAAUGAAGAUGUAUCAGGUGUCUGCAUGUGUUCUGCUGAGGUGGAUUAUCGAAUCUGGCUACUAUGACAGUGGACUGAGCUGAUACCUGGUGAGGGCUCAAUGGAUGUGAUAUGAAAACGAAGGCCUUGUUUAGUCCCUUAGGUGAAAAGUUUUUGGGCACUGUAGCACUUUCGUUUGUAUUUGGCAAGUAUUGUCCAACCAUGAACUCAAACUGUGCAAUUAGUUAUUUUUUUAUCUAUAUUUAAUGCUCCAUGCAUGUGCCGCAAAAUUCAAUGCGAUGAGGAAUCUUGAAAAUUUUUAGGAUUUUGGGUGCAACUAAACAAGGCCGAAAUGAAAUUCAGUGUUGCUGUAUCGGGAUUCAUGGUGGGUACAUGGGUGGUGGGUCAAAUAAAUAGAAAAGGGAAAGGGCGGAUCAUGGGUGUAGGAUAUGCAGAGCAGAGAUGGUAUUAGCCUUAUCAGUGGAUAUGUGGAUUGCGGUGCUGCUAACUAAGUAGGAGUAUUUACAACACACACAAAAAAAAAGAUGGACAUUUCUAGUUUUUUUUAAUUUUUUUUAGGAAAACAGGAGGGGUUUGACCCCCUACUGUGAAUUUAACAUUUCCAGUUAAAUUUACUAUGAAAAUAUGUUAUAUAAUCAAUCAGAUAAUAUGUAUUCGGUAUCAUAAAUGUUUGUAGUUUUUUUUAUAUAUUUGACUGAAGUUGAAACUGUUUGACUCCUCAUUCUUUUGGACGGAAGGGGAGUAUGUAUAAAAUGUAAUGGGAAAUGGCAAGGAAGAGAUUGACCUGUAGCUCUGUGGCCAUUGCUGGGUGUAGGAGGAGGCGGUGGCCUGAGCGUGACCACGCGGGGUGGCGCAGGACGACGAGGAGGAGCCGGAAUCGGAGUCGGAUCCUGAGCCGGAGCCGGAGCCGGAGCCCUCCUCGUGUUGGUGGUGGCGUCUUCUGCUGCGGGCGGCGGCGGCGGAUGGCUGGGAUUGGGGACGGUCGUCGUUGUCGUCGUCGUCGCUCUCGAUGAUGAGGCUGCGCUCAGACACGGAGCUCCUCAUCUUGGGGGCUCAAUCAGUCUGCUCCACUCCACUCCACUCCACGGCUGCUCUCUCUCUCUCUCUCUCUCUCUCUCUCUCUCUCAGUCCCUGCCCCUCCCUAGUCCCUCCGGACCUGAUGAAAAAGGAGCCUGCUUCUGCGCCUGCGUGGACAACACCACUCGUCCACUCCACGCCAGCAGUCCAGCUCCGAGCUACGUAUUCGCUGGUUGGUCGCUCCCUUAUAUACACUACACACAUAUAUAUUAUAUAAUAAUAGAAUGCAGUAAUGUCUUGUUUACUUCCAAAAAUUUUUGGGAAAUCCACGUUGUAGCACUUUCGUUUGUAUUUGAAAAAUAUUGUCCAAUCAUGGACUAAUUAUGCUUAAAAGAUUUGUCUCGUCAAUUCCGAUCAAACUGUGCCAUUAGUUUUUAUUUUCGUCUAUAUUUAAUACUCCAUGCAUGCGUCUAAAGAUUCGAUGUGACGGGAAAUCUGAAAAAUUUUAUAAAAUUUUUUAAAAACUAAACAAGGGCUAAGAAGACAAGAACACAAGGGCCACCUCACCACCCACUUGGCCACCCCACCAACAAACAUGUAGUUCUGCAUUGGCAAUCUCAUCUCAACAUGUAGUAUAUUCUCAUCAUGCAUCAUCAACCGAUUGAGACGUAUUCUUAACUAUUCAGUUAUUCUGAUCUGAUCCCUUAUUCCCUUCCACUGACACACCGAUGAGUGGAGGCUGGAUCUGAAAUCUAUCUCAAGCCGCCUCGAUGGAUGUCAGAUUCAGAUUUGCUUUGCUUCUUCUAGCCUAGCAGACAGAUCGAUUAAUUAAUUCAUAGGAGUAGUUAUUAUUAUUAAACUGGUGAUGAUAGUGAGUGCAAAUUUGCUUUCUCGAUCGAUUCCUUGACUUGCUUGCCAUCGCCCAUCGCUGGCUUAGCAAAAUGGCAAAUGUGCACAUGCCUCGCAUAUCAUUGUCUCGGUCUCUCUCACACUCUCUUACAGCAACUUCAAUGUAUAUGGACCAAGUAGUCCAUAUACAUGGGGCCACAUAAGUAGUCCAUAGCUAUUAUUUUUUGCUCACAAUGUUCAGCCAACAAAGUAGUACAUAAGAUAGGGUCCACUAGAGAUUAAAAAAUAUUGUUUCCAACCAUCUCAUCUUUCAUGACACAAGAGAGAGAGCAUGAAGAGAGAAAAUAACAUUUCUUUAUUGCUUAUGGGUAGUCCGUAGGGCUAUGGGUAGCUUUUGUUAUAGACUGUUAUAUGGACUACCUUCACAAUAUUUCUAUAGACUACUUUCUCCGAACAUUGUGGUUGCCCUUACGGUGGCGCAGACUGGGCCAAACAAUGACUUGUGCUCCCGCCCGGCCCAUCGUAGAUACGGACCGGACUGGAAAUUCUGGUAUUCAUUUAUUUUUACAGGAUGGAUGAAAAUCUGGACUAGUCGUCAUUUCCUUUCGUGAUCAGAAAUCGACAACUAAGAGCAACUCCAACCAUUAUGCAAAUAGACUUGGCAUUUACCAAAAUACAUAAAACUCCAAAAAAAAAACCCUCCAAUCGUUAUGCAUUUGGACUUUGCAUUUUACAUAGCUAUGCAUUUGGAGGGGGAAACUUGGCAUAUAUGUCAAAGGAGUUCGGCUAUGCAAAUAGAGAUCACGGGAUUCUCGGUUCCACCUCGCGGGCUUUUUUCUUCCCUUCGCGCGGUUUCCCUUCGCGCCGCCACCACUUCGCGCGAUAGGAGAAGCAUCGCGCGUCCUCCUUCACCAGCUUCGCGCGCGCGUUUGGACGAAGCAGCGCACAAUAGGACGACGCAGCGCGCGAUAGGACGAAUCUACGACGCAACGGCUUGACUGAUGGCGGCGACCUGCCUUGACGACGAACUGAUGGCGGUGACCGGAAACUGAUGGGGAACAGGAUCUGAUGGAGAUCGAGCCAAGGGGCGAACCUGUACGACGACGAACUGAUGGCCAACAGACGACGAACUGGUACGGUGAACGGGAACUAACGGAACGGGAGAUCGGUACUGCGAUCGGUACUACGAACGAGAACGACGAACUGCGCAGCUCACGAUCGGUACUGUGCGGCUGUUUGGCGCGGGAUCGAUUGGCCGCGCGGGAAGGAGUGCCGCGAAACAAAAUUUCCUGGAAAAAAAGAUGAUGGACUUGGCAUUUUGCAUAACGGUUGGAGAUCACCCGAUUUUAGCCUUGCCAUUUUCAUUUGGGGGUUUGCAAUUUGCCUAAAAUACAUAACUUCAAAUGUAUAAUGGUUGGAGAUGCUCAACCUCGCGGUUGGAUUGAACAAAUGAAAACAGAAAAACGAUCCGAUUUUUCCUAUAUUUAGUAAUAAAGAGGAUUUUAUAUAGGGAAAAAAGAGUUCCAGCAGAUACCAUUUUUACAAAAAAAAAAAGACGUUCGAUCAAAUCUGUCUCCUCUCCGUUGUGGGAAAGGUUCAUCGUGACAUUGUGAAGCUUUGGUUAAAAUUCCACAUUUUUUAGAUUGUUUGAUUUUUUUUUUAUCUUUUUAUCCAAAACCUUCAUGUUCUUUGCCCCUCUAAUCAGGAGGUACGUUGUGACUACAUGGUCUUGGUUUGAGCUACAGGAAAGGCUCGAGUUCUCCCUUGGGACGGGAUUGUUUGGUUCUAAGCCACGUCUAGCUAUAACAAGUUAUGGCAGCAGAAUGUAGCGCCACACUCUGUAACGAAAAACAAAACAUGCAGGUGUCAUGGGUGUUGUGGCUGCCAAAGACUGUGUAUGAACCAAACACUAGCCUAAUUAAUGAUGGCGAGCCAUAGAUGUGGCAAGGCUGAGGCCUUGUUUAGAUCCAAAAAUUUUUUAGAUUUUAACACUAUAACACUUUCGUUUUUAUUUGACAAACAUUGUUCAAUCAUAGAGUAACUAAGCUUAAAAGAUUCGUCUCGUGAUUUACAGAUAAACUGUGCAAUUAGUUAUCUUUUUUUAUCUCUAUUUAAUGUUACAUGCAUGUGCUACAAGAUUCGACGUGAUGGGAAAGCUUGUAAAUCCCGUGUAUUCCCCUUUUCGGUCCUUCACUUAGUCCUUGUUUACUUUCACCCAAAAAUCCAAAAUUUUUCAAAAUUCUCCGUCACAUCGAAUCUUUAGACGCAUGCAUAGAGUAUUAAAUGUAGAUAAAAAUAAAAAUUAAUUGCACAGUUUGGUCGAAAUAUACGAGACGAAUCUUUUGAGCCUAGUUAGUCCAUAGUUGGACAAUAAUUACCAUAAACAAACGAAAGUGCUACAGUGUCCCGAAAUUUUUUUCCUACUCACCAACUAAACACGGCCUUAUCUUGUAAGCAUAUUCUCCUCUCACCCUCUUCUCAUAUAGAUAGCACACAUUGUUUUUACCACCUAUGCAGUUCUCCUAUAUGUCUCAUUCAACGCCUAAAAGAGCCUACACGUUAGUUCUCAUGAGAUGCAAUAGGAGAAAUGUGAAUCCUAGAAAUUCCCACAAAAUUUUAGAAACAUCUAGCAGCCAGCUAAACUUUGUUAAUCGUUGACAAAAAUGGAUAUUGGAUCUAUAUUCACUUGGCGCUGAACUAAUUGGGCGCAAUUUUAGCCGGCCCGUUGGCCGUUGGGUAUAUAUAUGGUUUGUGCUACAGCACACGCGAAAGUGGAAUAUGUACUAUAUAUAUAGGUAGCCGGGAAAGCAUCAUCAUUGUGACGAAUAUAGUUGCAUUGCAUCUUUCCAUGCUGCUAUCAUGUUGUUGUUAUACUUAGACGAGACAGACACACACAAAUGGAUUGUGAAAUACAGCGCGCUGUGUGUAGCAGCUUGUUGGCAGCCAGAUGGCUGAUCCUCUGCUUGUCUUGAGGUUCAUCAGGGUGGGGCGGAGCGGCAUCUCUGGAGACUAGUGGAGCUGUAGUGUGCAGGGACCUGCGCUGACGACGACAUGGCCAGACGAAGCUGCAGCAGGUAGCAAUGAAAACACCAUGGAUAGAUACAUUUUUUUAUUACUCAUGGAUAGAAUGGAAUGAUGCAUACAUUGAGCUCCUGGUGCUGCUUGAUGAGCAUCUCGUUCUCCCUGCGCAGCUGCGCCAGCUCCAGCUCCAGCUCGUUGGUGUAGGCCUGCCUCCGGGCACGCGACCUGGCCGCCGACUCACGGUUCUUGAUCAUGCGCCGCUGCCGCCUGCUAUCUCCAGCAGCAGCGGAGCUGAUGCUCUGCUUCUGCUUCGUCAUGGUCUGGUACUGGUACUGAUCGGCCGGCGCGAAGGAGAAGACCAUCAGGUCGCGGGAGUCGUCGCCGGAUGUGGAGGACCCGCCGCCACCUCCUGACCCUGCCCCUGCCCCUGCCCCACCGAGGUAGGUGAACUCGAGGGUAUUAGAGCUCAGGCUCAACGUCGUCGUUGGCGUGGGGGGCUGCAGCGGCGACGAGAAAGAGGGCGGUGAAUGGGAGGCACCAGCACCAGAAGGCGACAGAUGAUGCUGGUGGUGACGGUGGCUGUACAGUGCGCCGCCGCCGCCGGCGGCGGGUGUCAUACUGAUAAGGGAUGGCUGUAGGGACAUGUAGUCCUUCCACACCUCCUCCAUGGCAGCGGCUGGCUCUCGGCUACACUGCUGUGCUGUGCUGUGCUGUGCUGUGCUGGUGUGGCCGGUGAAACUCUUCUACCUUCCUCCUAUUAUAUUAUUUUGAGGAAGACUCCUACGGUUUGCUACUAGCACACUGCACACAUGGACAUACAUAGUAGGUAUGUAGGAUACCGUCGAUAGCACGCCCUCUUCUCCACCGCUACUUCAGUAGCACUUCUUUUUAAGGAAUGAAUAAUGUUCUCCUCUCAUAAUAUUUUAGCAUCAAUAUAAGUCAAAUUUUAACAAAUAAACAUUUAUUACAGACUUAAAAUCCUAGCAUGAUUAAAUCCAAUAAACAUAUAAAAAUAUCCUAGCAUAAUCAAAUCCUUCGAUAGACAUAGUCUAAAAACUAAAUAUAAGGCAAUAAUCUUUAUUGUCUAAUUAAGCCUAAUUUCAAGUUAAGUUGUUGGGCUAUAUAUCCCAACAGCUCAUAUUAAAAUAAUACAAAGACAACUAUGCAAAAUGACUCAGUGACGCGUCAAUUCUACACAAAUCUUAUACUCACUCCAUCCACAAAAGAAUAUAGGGAUUAUAGUAUUCAUGUCCGUUAAAAUAGUUCAAGUUUGAACAAGUUUGUAGUAAAAAAAAUAUUCACAUUUAUGUCUCUAAACCAGUUUAAUCAUUACAAAAAUAUCUUAUAAUUAAACUAAUGAUACAUAUUUUGUAUCAUACUUCUUUUGUCUUAAAAUAGAGUGCAUUGUGACUUUUAAAAUUUUUAUUGAAAUACAUUGCAUUCAAUUCUACGUAAUGACUAUUUUUCAAUUUGGCAAGGUUUGUUAAAAAAGGAAGCUAUUGAAAUAAUCUAUGUAUACAUUUGCCAUUUGGUUUUCGGAAAAGCAAGAAUUGUAUUUUUUUUCUUUUAUAUGGACGAAGCGAGUAAGUACGAAAACCUAUGACCCAGGUUGCGAACUUGUCAUGAUGCACGGCCUGUGUGAUGGCAGCCAGCUCAAGCUAAGGGUCUUGUUUAGUUUAAACCAAAAAUUAAAAAAAAAUUCAAAGAUUCUCCGCCGCAUCGAAUCUUGCGGCAUAUGCAUGGAGCAUUAAAUAUAGAUGAAAAUAAAAACUAAUUGCACAGUUUGUCCGUAAAUCGCAAAACGAAUCUUUUAAACUAGCUACUCCAUAAUUAAACAAUGUUUGUUAAAUAAAAAUAAAAGUGCUACAGUGUCAAAAUCUAAAAACUUUUUGGAUCUAAAUAAGGCAAAAGCACAAACCACAAACAUCCCUUGUUCGUUUGGCUGAUAAAUCAUAACAGAAGUACUAUUCAUAGAUUUAUUAUAAGACAAAAACACUGCUUAAUGGUUAAAAAAUUCGACUACUAAACUCAAACGAACGGGUAUUUAAAUGACAAUGCAAAAGGUGCACUACAGUUCUAACCUACUGAAUGACAAUGCAAAAGCAGCGCAACUUUGGCUUAUUUAUCAUAGCAAAGGAUAGCAGUAGUUAAUAAAAAAUUUCAGCAUUCGCAGAUCGGACACCUCGGCAGUAGCAUUGCCAAUUUUAAUGUAUAUGAGCCUAUCCGAAAUUAUUUAUCAAAGCAAAUGAUAAUAAUAAUAAUAAUAAUAAUAAUAAUAAUAAUAAUAAUAAUAAUAAUAAUAAUAAUAAUAAUAAUAAUAAUAAUAAUAAUAAUAAUAAUAAUAAUAAUAAUAAUAAUAAUAAUAAUAAUAAUAACAACAACAACAACAUAAUUUGAAGAAUAAACACCUCGGUAAAUAAUUAUUUAUCAUACCAAAAGAGUUUCAUAUAGAUAAAACUCAUUUCUUCUCUCUUUUUAAAUACAUCGUCCUGUCAUAAAAAAAGACAUAUGUAACAACUUAUUUAGUAUAAAUAAAACUCACAUUAGAACUGGUGUAACCAAUAAUAAUGUGUGGUAGAGUAGAGAGUCCGAGUCCGAGUCCGAGUCCGGCCUGCAUGCGUCGUCGUCGUCGCGCCCGGUCCCGGCCCGGCCGCUGGUAUGUCCUAUUGCCCUGCCGCCGAGGAUGGCCUUGGUUUGGCCGGGCCCGGGUGCCACUGCCAUUGCCAGGUGCCAGCCAUACUGCAAUGCCAUACUAGUAUACUGUAUAGAUGAUGACAACACUAGUGCAGUCUGCAGCGUGGCACAGGUAGAGUGUUUUGGUACCUGCUACAGUGCGUGCAUGCGUUGGCUCCUGCGUGCGUCUGCAUGCGGCCAGCCAGUCAGAGCGCUCGCCUUGGGCCUCGUUUACUUCCAAAAGUUUUUACAAAAUAUAAAUAGUAGCACUUUCGUUUGUAUUUGACAAAUAUUAUCUAAUUAUAGACUAACUAGGCUUAAAAGAUUUGUCUCGUCAAUUCCGACCAAACUGUAUAUUUAGUUUUUAUUUUCAUCUAUAUUUAAUACUCCAUGCAUACGUCUAAAGAUUCGAUGUGACGAGAAAUCUGAAAAGUUUUGCAAAAUUUUUGGGGAACUGGCCUUGUUUACUUUUAAAAAGUUUUGCAAAAUAGGAAUAGUGACACUUUCGUUUGUAUUUGACAAAUAUUAUUCAAUUAUGAACUAACUAGGCUCAAAAAAUUCGUCUCGUCAAUUCCGAUCAAACUGUGCAAUUAGUUUUAAUUUUUAUCUAUAUUUAAUACUCAAUGCAUACGUCUAAAGAUUUGAUGUGACGAAAAAUCUGAAAAAUUUUAUAAAAUUUUUCAGGAACUAAACAAGGCCUAAACAAGGCCUUGGUGCUUGUAGUUUGCUGUGCCCUCGUCAGUCCAGCCGCAUGCCUGACCAUUAGGGUUUAUGCCCUGUUUAGGUCUCGUUUACUUACAAAAUGUGAAUAGUACCAAUUUCUGUUUGUAUUUAAUAAAUAUUGUCCAAUUAUAGACUAACUAGGCUCAAAAGAUUCGUCUCAUCAAUUUCGACUAAACUGUGUAAUUAGCUUUUAUUUUUGUCUAUAUUUAAUACCUCAUGCAUACGUCUAAAGUUUCGAUGUGACGGGGAAUCUGAAAAAUUUUACAAAAUUUUUUGGAAACUAAACAAGGCCUUAGUUUCAAAAAAAAUUGCAAUUUUUUUCAUAUUUCCUGUCACAUCAAAUUUUGCAACACAUAUUGCACUGUAAAUUGUGAGACAAAUCCUUUAAAUCUAGUUAAUUCCAUGAAUGGACAAUGUUUUUCAAAUACAAACAAAAAUACUACAGUAUCAAAAUCUAAAAAAAAUUACAUCUAAACAAGACCAUGUACAUCUCACUUUUUAAGGAGCCAAUAUAUACAAGCAAUACAAGCUCAUCACACCGAGGUCCACGUCGUCCGGCCGUUCAAAAUACGUACUCGUAUAUAACAAAUUAUGGUAUUUCAUUAAACGCAACGUUCGUUGGUUUAAAAUGAUAUAGCUGAAAUUAUUAUUGUCUGAUUUAUUAUAAGAAAAAAUAUUGUUGACUGAAAAAAAAAGUACCAACAAAAAAACGUGCUCUUCCUACUAUGUACCUUCGUCGAAAUCUAGUCUUGUUUAGUUGAAACCAAAAAGUUUUCAAGAUUUCCCGUCACAUCGAAUCUUGUGACACAUGCAUGAAACAUUAAAUAUAGACAAAAACAAAAACUAAUUACACAGUUUAGCUGUAAAUCACGAGAUGAAUCUUUUGAUCCUAGUUAGUCUAUGAUUGGAUAAUAUUUGUCACAAACAAACGAAAGUGCUACAGUACCGAAAACUUUUCACUUUUUGGAACUAAACAAGGCCCUAGCAUUAUUUAUUUGUACACAUACGCCUUGCAUUAUUGCAGCCUGCAAUUUGCAAGGUUGCACAACUCAUGGCUAGCUACGGGUACUGGCACCUGGACCUGGCACUGUAUACUACUAGUACGUCAUGUGUGAGCUUUGAUGCAUCGUGUUUUCCUUGCAUGCAUUGCAUAUGCAUGGACACGUACGUACGGAUCCACUGUAUGUGACCAUACAUCAUGGACAUGUACAACGCACGGAUUCCCCCUAGGACUCGUAGUUUCAAAAAAAAUUACAAAAAAUUUUAGAUUGGUCGUAUCAAAUCUUACAUUAUAUGUAUAAAAUUUUAAAUAUAGAUAAAAAAAUAACUACUUGUAGUUUGUGAGACAAAUUUUUUAAACUUAGUUACUCUAUAAUUGAACAAUAUUUAUUAAAUAAAAAAAAUACUACAGUAUCUAUUUUGUAAAAUAAAAUUGAAACUAAGUAAAGCCUUAGUAGGCACAUCUAUCACAUGCAGGUUAUGAUACGUACUAUCCCUGUAUGCAUGUGACUCGCGUGCCGUAACGUACAAUCACAGUGCACGACAUGCCAUCGUUUAGUUCACGAUUUUUUUUGUCUGGCUAUUUGCCAAUUAUUGUUCAACAAUAUACUAGUUAGAUUUAAAAGAUUCAUAUCAUAAAUUACAUUUAAACUACACAAUUAGUAGUUUUUUAUUUAUAUUUAGUGCUCCAUAUAUAAGUCUAAAGAUUCGAUAUGAUAAAAAAUCUUAAAAGAUUUUAAAACUAAGAAGGUAUUUAGUUGAGGAUGUUAAAAUUCAAUAGUUAUUGUAGUAUUUUAGUUUUAUUUGAUAAUUAAUAUUCAAUCAUUAACUAAUUUUACUUAAAAAAUUAUAUCACAAAUUAUUUCUCUAACUAUAUUUUUAUUUUUGUAAAUAGUUUAUAUUUAAUACUCGAUAUAUAUAAAAUUUAACCACACCAACUAAACCAGUAUGCUCCUUCACAGUGGAGAGACGUGCGUACGGUGGCCUUGCCGGCGUACCCCAGUAUAGCAGCAGCAGCAGCAUGCCUACUACUGUAAAGGUUAUAGCAGCAGCAGCCGCCGCAGAAACAACUUUCCUUGUGCCUUGUUUUAGUUUUAAAUUUUUUUGCAAAAGAAGCACAGUAGUAUUUUUAUUUGUAUUUGAUAAUGAUUAUUCAAUCAUAGACUAAUUAGACUCAAAAGAUUUAUUUCACAAAUUACAAAUAAGCUGUAUAAUUAAUUAUUUUUUUUUAUUUAUAUUUAGUGCUCCAUGCAUGUACUACAAGAUUUAAUGUGACGGAGAAUCUAAAAAAAUUUGCAAAAUUUUUUGGAACUAAGGCCUUGUUUAGUUCACCCAAAAAAUUAAAAAGUUUUUAAGAUUCUCUGUCACAUCGAAUUUUACGGCACAUGCAUAAAACAUUAAAUAUAGACGAAACAAAAAACUAAUUAUACAGUUUGACUGUAAAUCAUGAGAUGAAUCUUUUGAUCCUAGUUAGUCUAUGAUUGGACAAUAUUUGCCACAAACAAAUAAAAUUGCUACAGUAGCAAAAUCCAAAAAAGUUUUCACAUCUAAACAAAGCUUGUUGAUAAGUUAUGAUAGAAAGUAUUGUUGAUAAUUUUUUGUGAGAGAAAAACACUGUUGAAUAGCUUGCAUAUUCAACUAAUAAUUGGCCUUGUUUAGUUCCAAAAUAUUUUGCAAAAUGUGAAUAGUACCAAUUUCGUUUGUAUUUGACAAAUAUUGUCCAAUCAUAGACUAACUAGGCUCAAAAGAUUCGUCUCGUCUAUUCCGACCAAACUGUGUAAUUAGUUUUUAUUUUCGUCUAUAUUUAAUACUGCAUGCAUACGUCUAAAGAUUCGAUGUGUCGGGGAAUCUGAAAAAUUUUGCAAAUUUUUUUGGGAACUAAACAAGGCCAAACUCAAGGGAACAGGCUGCAUACUAGUAUAUGCAUGUUUAUAACUCUAAAUCAAUUUAUUAUGAAUAUAUAUAUAUAUAUAUUUAUAAUUAAUCUAAUAAUAUUUAUUUGCUGAUAUCGAUACUUUUAAUCUGUAAUUAGUUAGACUUAUAGUAAGUCCUUGUUUAGUUGUGAAAAGUUUUUGGAUUUUGAUACUCUAGUAUUUUUGUUUAUAUUUGACAAUUAUUGUCCAAUUAUAGACUGACUAGACUCAAAAGAUUCGACUCGUAAAUUACAAACAAAUUGUGCAAUUAGUUUUUGUUUUUGUCUAUAUUUAAUGCUAUAUGCAUGUACCACAAAAUUUGAUGUGACGAAAAAUCUUGAAAAGUUUUUAAAUUUUGGAGUGAACUAAACAAGGCCUUAGACAUAACACCAUGCUAAAAUUGUAUUAAUCCUUGGACGUGAGUGAGUACAAGUCACAACUCACAAGAGGUUCCGUAGUCAGAAUCCGAUGGCGUGGUGGAUCUAGGACGAGGCAGGGUGCGGGUAGGUGAGGUGGCACGGUUUAUAUAUAGCGAAUAUAAAAACACACAUCACAGCAAAAGCCUAAAGGCAAAACGCCAAAUUUACCGACUUUUCCAAGGGUGAUCUGAUCUCUACAAGAUGAAUUUGCACCAUAUAUAGGCUCUAACGUGGCCUCUAAUUUUCCCAUCUUUAGUGAAACAUCCUGCACCUACUUAUUUCAGAGUCUUCGUCCUGACUCCUGAGAUGUACGUCUUGGUGUUUUAGCGGUAGCUUAAUUCUCCAUCAGCGGCGCUGCCCCUGCCCCACUCUCGCAGGGACCUCAAUCGCCCGCCCCACUGCCGCGUCCUCCUCCACUUGUCCAUCUUUUUUGUGAAGCUAAAGUAGGCCUUGUUUAGUUCACCCAAAAAGCAAAAAGUUUUCAAGAUUCCCCGUCACAUCGAAUCUUGUGGCAAAUGCAUGAAGCAUUAAAUAUAGACGAAAGCAAAAACUAAUUACACAGUUUAACUGGAAAUCGCGAGACGAAUCUUUUGAUCCUAGUUAGUCUAUAAUUGAAUAAUAUUUGUCACAAACAAACAAAAGUGCUACAGUACCGAAAUCCAAAAUCUUUUCGGAACUAAACAAGGCCGUAGUAGCAAAGCUAGAGGAAAUCGGUUAUAUGUGUAAAAAUUUAAUCUAUAAUCAUAAUAAAAAUAUAUAUUUUAAUAGUGUUUUUUCAAAAUUUUGCCCACGCUGUAUGACCAUAUUGACUGAGACUGUUUGUUGGUUAAAAGUCAUAACUAAAAAUAAUGUUCACUGAUUCAUUAUAAGAGAAAAACAUCGUUAACUGAUAAAAAAUGUACGACUUAUGAGAUAAGCGAAACAGAGCGUGAAGAUCUUCGACGACGACGGUGAUGGCGUUGCAGGCUGCUCCACGUAGAGUAGCUGCGUUGCACUAUACAGGCUUGGGGAUCGAAUCCAACCGCUCGAGGAUGCUCCCAGGAGGAUGUUGGUGAAAUGCACAUUCAGCCGAAGCUCGCACUACAGUCGCCGUUAUGCGUUGUCUCGUCUUCGCCAUCCGCUGACCAAGUCACGAGAGCUGCCGACGACGCCAACGCCCGCGGCCCAACAUGUCACUUUCGUUCGAGUUUCUCUUUCCUCGCUCUGGACUGGACAUCGUUAUGGCAAUUUCGUUUGAGACUGUCAGACGUCAGUGUAUGCCUUCUCCUAGCAUGGCGUUUUCUUCCUUCCUUUUUGAGGCCCCUGACAUAUAUCCCCUCCCCCUAAUGGACUUUAGCCCCUAUUACAUUGGAUAUUUAUAUAGACACAUAAUACAUAGAGUAUUAAAUAUAAAUUAAAAAUAAUUAAUUGUACAGAUUGUGACUAAUUUACGAGAUAAAAUGUUUAAGCCUAUAUAGUCUAUGAUUUGACAAUAUGGUGCUACAGUAAACAUGCUACUAAUGAAGGAUUAAUUAGGCUUCUAAAAUUCAUCUCGCAUAUUACUAAGUACUUCUGUAAUUUAUUUUGGAGGAUGUUUUGAUGGAUUGGAACGGCAAGACUUUUAUCCCUAAUCUUUUUUCUGAGAAACUUUUAAUCAUUCAAACUUUACAUCUUGAUAUUUAGAUGCAUGUUAAAACUUUAGCCAUGCAGAUAUAGCAUGUGCCCGAUAAUGUUUUUGCCUAGUUUUGGCCUCUUCAGUACUAAAUGCCAAAAGUUUAGCAGCCCAAGUUUUAUUUUUUUGCCUAUGUUAUUUAGAUCUAUUUUUACCAAAAGAUGGAGUGAAGUAACAAAAGUUUUGACAAAAGAGGUAAACUAAACAUGUUCUUAUUAUUGCUAUCCAAAUACCCGACAUGGCACUCUCACAUUUAAACUUUAGGCCCUCGAUUGGAUUUUAAUAAACACUUUUAAACACCCCUAGGUGCUGCUAUCUCCAAUAGGCACCUUUCUGCAAUGUCAGCUCACUACUUUUUCUUUUCACGGGGUGUUUGAUUGGAGAUGUUAAAGUUUACUGUAGCUCAUUCGUUUUAUUUGACAAUUAGUAUACAAUUAUAGACUAAUUAGGCUUAAAAGAUUCGUCUCGCAAAAGUCAUAAAAAUCAGAUAUAAGUUAGAAACCAUGUCUAUAAAGAACUAACACAUGAAGUGAUGUGAUUGGUAGAGAACGGAGAGAGAAUGUAUGUGAUUGGAUAAAAAAUUAUUUCUUAAAAACUAUUCAUUGAGAUCAUAGUUUUAUUUUAUAUGUAGUGUGAAAGAUCCUAAUGUGGCUAGAGGGGGGGUGAAUAGACUAUUAAAAAUCUACAAAAUCACUAGAGCAAUAGAUUAGUAAAAAACAAAGCGAAAGCUUUUUGCUCUAGCUCUAAAAGAGGUGUUUGCAAGCCACCUAUUCAACAAUUCUAGUUGAUAUGAUCACUAAGCAUACAAAGGCUAUGUCACUACAAGCUAUACUAGUGAACUAAGCUACACAAGACAAAGUGAGCAACUAAACUAAUUACACUACUUCGCGGUAAGUAAAUGGAGAGGAUGAGAUAUUUAUAUCGCCGUACAGGGGAUGAACCAAUUACCAAUAUAUGAAUAAUCAAGCACCGGGAGAAUGCCAAUCAAUCACAAUUGAGACACUGAUUUUUCUCCCGAGGUUCACGUGCUUGCCGGCACGCUACGUCUCUGUUGUGUCGACCAACACUUGGUGGUUCGGUGGCUAAGAGGUGUAGCACGAACCUCGUCCUUACUAGAACACCGCAAGAACCGACCCACAAGUGAGGUAACUCAAUGACACGAGCAAUCCACUAGAGUUACCUUUCGGCUCUCCGCCAAGGAAGGUACAAGACCCCUCACAAUCACCGGGAUAUGGCCACGAACCAUUACCAACUCGUGCCAAUACUCCUCCACCGCUCCAAGCCGUCUAGGUGGCGGCAACCACCAAGAGUAACAAGAAAACCGUAGCCAAAUCGAUCCCCAAGUGUCACUAGAUGCAAUCACUCAAGCAAAUGCACUUGGAAUCCCUCCCAAUCUCACAAAGAUGAACAAUCUAUGAAGGAGAUGAAUGGGAGGUGUUUGCUUAGGCUCACAAGGAUGUUAAAUAUGCUAGAAUGCCAAGAGGGUGAGCCCCAAGCCGGCCAACAACUAUUUAUAAGCUCCUCAAACAAAUAGAGCUGUUGGCUCUUUCACUGGACAACAGUCGAGGCCACCGGACGCUCAAGCAGGAGGCACCGGACGCUCAACCCUUACGUCCGGUGCUCCAGAAACAGCCACGUGUCAGCUCUUUGAAUUACACGCGUUGAACUCCAACGGCGCUCAAGUUAGCACCGGACGCGUCCGGUGAACACAGAUCUCAUGCGCAGAGAGGUCUGCAAACGCGCGGGAUCACCGGACGCGCUCCUGAGCAUCCGGUCCCUUACCCAAAGAACAUUGCAAAUGCGCAAGGACACCGAACGCGCACCACCGGACGCACCCUGAGCGUCCGGUGCUCUCAGUCAGAAACACCUAAAGAAGUCAGGCAGCACCGGACGCACCAACAGGGUUUAACCUACGUCCGGUGCCUAGCGUCCGGUGCCGAACCCUAACAGGGCCAGGUACUGAUAGUACACCGGACGCGCAGCCCCAGCGUCCGGUGCCUAUGCAGUCAGCGUCCGGUGAGUAUUUCUUAGCGAGAAACACUCCCGCAACUUCUCUAAAUUUCCCACCGGCGUAAUAGAAAAUAUGCAUUUCAUUUACUCAAAAGCGCCGAAUCCCGCCGAACUUGAGAGAGGAACCCAAACCCCUCUCUACCCUUCAACCUCAACAUCCUUCUCAAAGUGUGCCAACACCAUCAAGUGUGUAUCAACAAGUGAACGUGUGUUAGCAUUUUCAUAAUCAUUUUCUUUGAAGGAGUUAAGUUAGCUCACUAGGUUCUAAAUGCAUGCACAUGAAUAAUGACACCUAGUGGCACUUGAUAACCGCUUAGCCAAAGAAUUUUUCUCUUUAUAGUACGACUAUCUAUUCUAAAUGUAAUCACACCCUCUAUGGUGUCUUGAUCACCAAAACCAAAACCCUAAGCAAUACCUUUGUCUUGAUCUCCAUAGAGUUUUGUUUUUCUCUUUCUUCUUUUCCAAGUUGAGCACUUGAUCAUCUUGUGGUCAUCACCAUCAUCACCAUGAUCAUCUCUUGAUCCAUCAAUUGGCACGUACCAACCUCAUUAAAUCUACACACACUUAGUAUAGAGAUUAGUAGUAGGGUUUCAUCAAUUAUCCAAAACUAAAUUAGGGCUUUCAAUAUAUGUUACACGUUUCAAAUAACCCAAAAUAUGGCAACAUAACACCCUGUAGAUUCUUAACACAGACUUUGACGUAGGACCACAAUCAUUAGUUAGCUCAUUAACACAUAGGAAACAAUGGAUAAUAUAUCGUGGAAUAUCACAUAGUUAGGCCUUGUUUAGUUUCCAAAUUUUUUCAAGAUUUCCCAUCACAUCGAAUCUUGCGGCACAUGCAUGAAACAUUAAAUAUAGACGAAAACAAAAACUAAUUACACAGUUGCCUAUAAAUCACGAGACGAAUCUUUUGACUCUAGUUAAUCUAUGAUUGGACAAUAUUUACCACAAACAAACGAAAAUGCUACAGUAGCGAAAUCCAAAAAAUUUCGUCAACUGAACCAGGCCUUACUCCACCAAAAAUUCAAAAAACAACAUAGAACGUGAAUACGAUAGAAAAAGAAAAUACAUCGUGUGGCCUGGGCCUCAAGACGGAUGGUCGCACUAGCUAGCUACAUGCUGCGGCAGGCCGGGCUGCACAUCUCAAUUGGGCUACCUCGCAUGCUUGCGCGUACGGAACUAAUGCGAACUGCUAUUACAUUGCGGGAAGGAAAUACUCGUCCGGCCCACCACUUUCGUUUCCGGUUGGCCAUGCGAAAAGAAAAUUUCGCUACUGUAGUAUUUUCGUUUGUUUGUGACAAAUAUUGUCUAAUUAUAGACUAACUAAGAUCAAAAGAUUUAUCUCGCGAUGUGAUGGGGAAUUUUGAAAACUUUUUGGUUUUCGGGAUGAACUAAACAAGGUCUCAGCUCGUCCAUUGUACUUGAAUGGAAAAAGUCUACUUUUUCUCACCUAACUUCAUGAUCAUCCGUUUUUUCUUCCUUAAUUUUAAAACGGGGUAACCAUCUUCUUUAAAUUGCUUAAACUUAUUAGCCAAAUUUAUUAGUCAUUCAACAAUAUUUUUUCUCUCAUAAUAAAUCUGUCAACAGUACUUUUUGCUGUAAUUUAUCAGCCAAACGAACAUAAAAAAAUUUAUAAAAAUUUUUCAGGUUGCAUUUGCAUUCCGCUGCGUGGAUGUGCAUUGGCAGCAUUGCCUUUACUCCCCGGCCAGUAGCGGUAGCGUAGCAGAUCUGUGGGUGGAUUGGGCGCUGCACUGCAAUUGGAUCGCCGGCCGGCCAUCGGAGCCGGUACAUCUCUGCACGUCUGCAUGCAGUCACCAGAGACAAGAGAGAGAGACGGGCAGUCGUCGUCAGUUGUUGUUGACAUGUCAAUUUUUUUUUAUUCUUUAUUACAUCUUGCGGUACAUAUAUAGAUCAUUAAAUAUAAAUAAAAAAUAAUUAAUUGUAUAGUUUAUUUGUUAUUUAUGAGAUAAAUUUUUUUAGCUUAUUAGUCCAUAAUUGAACAAUAUUUAUCAAAUAUAAAUAAAAUUGCUAUAGUGUUUAUUUUGCAAAAAAAUAAAAAUAAAACUAAACAAGGCCUCAUUGGCAGCUUAAUUACUUGCAGAGCAGCGUCGCACGUUAAUUAACUGUACUACAUAUAUACGCCUGCAGCAGUUGCUUGCCCUAGGUUUAAAGCAUUUCAAUUCAAGAAUGUACUACUGGUCCGAUCGAGCACUGCAGUCCCAUGUUCUAUCCGCGUUCGAUUUCUCAUAAAUAAUUUCUUUCAAACAUUUGCCAUUUGCAUACAUGUUCAUGUCUUGUUCGGUAGUGCUGCUUAGAUUUCUCUCCAAGCAGAGAAGUCAUGAAAAACCAAGUUUUUCACUGCGACUUUGGUUUCUAGGCGAAAAUGGUUUUCAGUUUUAUUUUAUGGAUUUUGAGCGCAAGCUCCGCCUCUGCUUGGAGCAAGAGAUCACAUCUUCGACUUUGCCUUCACCAUAAAUUUGGAGCGAAGGGUCAUCUACAACAUACAUCUGUGACAACAGGCACGCCUAUAUGUCAUCUACUUCAAAUACGUAAAAAAAUCUCUAACAAGCACCAGCCAAGAGAGGUUGUUGUCGAGGACCGCAUUUGGACAAUAAAUCCGCCCAAAGACGUGAGCCUUGCCUAGCGCCCGUGUGUGAAAGUUUGAAGACAUUGUGACCGUCUACAUCAACCAUUCAAUAGUAUUUUUCUAUCGCAAAUCAGCAAACAAUAUUUUCAUUCAUAGCUUUUCGCACAAAGCGACACAGGCAUUAACUACUUCGCUUACUUUGGCUACAUCAACUGCUUUGGUGAAGGCUUAGUUAUGCAGAGAAGCUAUCGAGGGAUCAUGGCUAUGCAAAGGAGCAAGCUUCCAAAGGCAAAUUCACGGAGGUUUGAGCGAAGUUUGCUGCAGAAGACUAGUCGAAGACAAAAUCAUCUCUAUGUGAUCUCUGUGUAGGAAGCUGAAUGUGCAAUUUAAAAGUUUGGAUGAAAACUCGAGACAAGUUUAGGAGCUGAAGAAUCUGCAUUUCGAAAGUAACAGAACCUAGAUAAAAACUCGAUCCGGACAAUUUCAAACACCACCAAAUGUCACGACGAGACUUUAACUUGCAGCGUUUCUCCAUGGCCUUCACUACUAAAAAAAACUUUACGGAGGCGGGCAAAAUCUAUUAACCGAGGCGGUUUUUGCAACCGCCUCGGAUCAAAGGUCACGGUAAAUGACCUAUUUAUCGAGGCGGUUUGCUGCCCGCCUCGGUUAAUCAAAUAAAAAAAAUAAAAAAUAAAAAAAAAAUCCGUGGACAGGCCUGCGAGCCCAUCCACGGUUAGCCGUCGCCACCACCGUCGCUCAGGAGCCGCCGGUGCUGUUGGGGAGUCGUGGGGAUCUCACCGCCCUGGAUCCGCUGCCGAAGGACGACGACGCCCUCAAUCCGCUGCCAAAGGACGACGACGCCCUCGAUCCACAGCCGAAGGACGGCGGCACCCACGAUCUGCUGCAAGGAGGUACCACCGCCCUUGAUCCGCGCCGGGAGGAGCUCGCCAACGUGGAGGAGGGGCAUGUCGUCCCGUGGCCGUGGAGGUAGAGAUCCUCCUCGUGCCAUGGCCGCUCUGCACACCGCGCGCCGAGAGGGGCCGCGUCUCCCCGCGCCAUGGCCGACCCGCGCCGCUUGGAAGAGAAGGGGUGCCACCAGAUGGGAGAGAAGGGGAGCCGCCAGCGGGACAGGGAGGGGAGGGGCGCCGGUGGUGAGAUGGGAAGGGGAGGGGCACCGGUGGCUAGAUACGAAGGGGAGGGUCGGGGGCGUCGGGCUAGUGGUGAGAUACGAAGGGGAAGGGGAGGGGCGCUAGUGGCCAGGGGACGAUUGGCUU
This 36341-nucleotide long non-coding RNA is filed under the name Sorghum bicolor (sorghum). Its description in RNAcentral is "long non-coding RNA (SBIC_LNC005882)". The record is from RNAcentral. Lineage: Eukaryota; Viridiplantae; Streptophyta; Magnoliopsida; Poales; Poaceae.